This 247-nucleotide ribosomal RNA is filed under the name uncultured bacterium. RNAcentral describes it as "partial 16S ribosomal RNA". It matches the Rfam family "Bacterial small subunit ribosomal RNA", at positions 524 to 770 of the family's 1533-position model. The record is from RNAcentral.
UACGUAGGGGGCAAGCGUUAUCCGGAUUUACUGGGUGUAAAGGGAGCGUAGACGGCAAGACAAGCCUGGAGUGAAAGGCGGGGGACCAACCCCCGGACUGCUCUGGGAACUGUCUGGCUGGAGUGCAGGAGGGGUAAGUGGAAUUCCUAGUGUAGCGGUGAAAUGCGUAGAUAUUAGGAGGAACACCAGUGGCGAAGGCGGCUUACUGGACUGUAACUGACGUUGAGGCUCGAAAGCGUGGGGAGCA